Molecule: unclassified non-coding RNA, 405 nt
Filed under: soil metagenome
Description: partial contains 5.8S ribosomal RNA, internal transcribed spacer 2, and large subunit ribosomal RNA
Rfam family: 5.8S ribosomal RNA (bases 1-121)
Source: RNAcentral
GAUGAAGAACGUAGCGAAAUGCGAUAAGUAAUGUGAAUUGCAGAAUUCAGUGAAUCAUCGAAUCUUUGAACGCACCUUGCGCCCUUUGGCCAUUCCGAAGGGCAUGCCUGUUUGAGUAUAAUGAACACCUCAACUCUUUAUGGUUUUCCAUGAUGAGAUUGGACUCUGGGGGUUUUGCUGGCUCACAGUCGUCUCCUCUAAAAUGAAUCAGCUUACCAGUGUUUGGUGGGUAUCAUGUGUGUGAUAACUAUCUACGCUUGUGGUUUUUCCACCAGGUAACCUUCAGCAGUGGAGGUUCGCUGGAGCUCAUAGAUGUCUCUCCUCAGUGAGGACAGCCCUUUGAAUGUUUGAUCUCAAAUCAGGUAGGACUACCCGCUGAACUUAAGCAUAUCAAUAAGCGGAGGA